Molecule: ribosomal RNA, 138 nt
Filed under: Symbiodinium sp. clade D
Lineage: Eukaryota; Dinophyceae; Suessiales; Symbiodiniaceae
Description: Durusdinium sp. clade D 5.8S ribosomal RNA
Rfam family: 5.8S ribosomal RNA
About the family: 5.8S ribosomal RNA (5.8S rRNA) is a component of the large subunit of the eukaryotic ribosome. It is transcribed by RNA polymerase I as part of the 45S precursor that also contains 18S and 28S rRNA. Functionally, it is thought that 5.8S rRNA may be involved in ribosome translocation.
Source: RNAcentral
CACAACUUUCAGCGACGGAUAUCUCGGCUCAGGCACCUAUGAAGGGCGCAGCGAAUUGCAGAUCUCCGUGAACCAAUGGCCCCCUGAACGCGCAUUGCACUCUUGGGACUUCCUGAGAGUAUGUUUGCUUCAGUGCUU